This 1811-nucleotide long non-coding RNA is filed under the name Salmo salar (Atlantic salmon). RNAcentral describes it as "lncRNA (ENSSSAG00000116672.1)". Lineage: Eukaryota; Metazoa; Chordata; Actinopteri; Salmoniformes; Salmonidae. The record is from RNAcentral.
GUUGUCCUAGCUUCAUGCAAAAGCUGGUUCCACCAUUGGGGUGCCAUGACAGAGAAUAGCUUGGACUGGGCUGAGCGGGAGCUGGGAUGGGAGGGCCAAGAUACCAGAGGUGGCAGAACAGAGUACUCAGGUUGCGGUGUAGAGUUUGAGCAUAGCCUGAAGGUAGGGAAGGGCAGUUCCUCUUGCAUGUGUGUUGCAUGGUGUUGUAGUGUAUAUGAGCUUUGACUGGAAGCCAGUGGAGCGUGCGGAGGACCGGGGUUACAUGGGAGAACUUGGGAAGGUUGAACACCAGGCGGGCUGCAGCGUUCUGGAUAAGUUGCAGAGGAUUGAUGGUACAAGCGGGGAGCCCAGCCAACAGCGAGCUGCAGUAUUCCAGACGGGAGAUGACAAGUGCCUGGAUUAGGACCUGCGUCGCUUCCUGUGUGAGAGAACGACAGGGUGUUGUCCAGGGUCACGCCAAGAUUCUUUGCACUCUGGGAGGGGGACACCAUGGAGUUGUCAACCAUGAUGGAGAGGUCUUGGAGCAGGCAUGCCUUCCCCGGGAGAAAGAGCAGCUCCGUCUUGUCAAAAUUGAGCUUGAGGUGUUAGGCUAGCAUUAAAGCUGAGGUAUCUGCCAGGCUUACAGAGAUGCAUGUCGCUAAAUGGGUGUCAGAAGGGAGGAAGGAGAAAAGUAGUUGAAGGUUAUCCGCAUUGCAAUGAUAGGAGAGACCAUGUAAGGAUAUGACGGAGCCAAGUGACUUGUUGUAUAGAGAGAAGAGGAGAGGGCCUAGAACCGAGCCCUGGGGGACACCAGUAGGGAGAGAACAUGGUGGACCCUCUAGAAUGUACAAGCACUAUAGAUAAACAUAACUAUAAUGACAUUUAAAAUAUAAACAUGUAUAUACUGUAUAUUCCCCGAAAUUACCUACAGCACUUAUUUGAAAUGUGGAUUGAAGCUAUUUUUCUUUCUUUAUUUGAAAUGAAAUCAUAAUUUUAAUGCCAAGCAUUAAAAUGAUUUUGCAAUACUUUAUACACAUGAACAUGUUGAUGCCGUACUCAUAAAACGAUUAGAAAUAGGAGAGUAUGUUGUGUCAAACAGUGAAUUACCAGUAUGCCGGCCUAGAUGGCAUCCCAAGCAGCAUCCUCAGAGCAGUGUUUAAAGACACAUUCAACGUCAUCCCUGUCCCAGUCUGUUUUCCCCACUUGCUUCAAGAUGUCCACCAUUGUUCCUGUACCCAGGAAAGCUAACUGAACCAAAUGACUAUCACCCCGUAGUACUCACCUCUGUCAUCAUUAAGUGCUUUGAGAGGCUAGUUAAGGAUCAUAUCACCUCCAACCUACCGGACUCCUGAGACCCACUUCAAUUUGCAUACCGCCCCAACAGAUCCACGGACGACACAAUCGCUGUCGCACUGCACACUGCCCUAUCCCACCUGGACAAGAGGAAUACCUAUGUGAGAAUGCUGUUCAUUGACUACAGCUCAGAUUUCAACACCAUAGUGAUGAGCUUGGAGGGCACUAAGCUAAGGACCCUGGGUCUGAACUCCUCCCUCUGCAACUGGGUACUAGACUUCCUGAUGGGCUGACCCUCGGUGAUGAGGGUAGGCAACAACACCUCUGCCACACUGAUCCUCAACACAGGGGCCCUCCAGGGGUGUGUUCAGUCCCCUCCUGUACUCCCUAUACACCCAUGACUGCGUGGCAUAUAUUAUAUUGUUUACUUACUGUGUAUGUAUACUGUAUCCUCAACAUAGCUCAUCCUAAUACGCAUACUGUACAUACCAUAUUAUACUGUCUAUACAUACACCACAUAUUUAUAUUCUGGAUUCUGA